RNAcentral lists this long non-coding RNA (403 nucleotides) under Camelus dromedarius (Arabian camel). RNAcentral's name for it is "lncRNA (ENSCDRG00005013305.1)". Lineage: Eukaryota; Metazoa; Chordata; Mammalia; Artiodactyla; Camelidae. The record is from RNAcentral.
CAACUCACAGAGCUGGGAAGCCUCGCGGGCUCCGGGGAGAGACCGCCGACGGUGGUGUCUUCUGCAGGUCUGUGCGUCUGUCUGUCUCUGUCUGUCACUCUGGCAUCUUACGAGUUCCUUUCCCUUUCGCUCCCGGCGGGCGGCAGCCUCUCGCUGGCUCGCAACUUUGGGGAGUUUCAAGCAGCCUUGGAGGCGGCGGCAGCAACCCCGGGCGCAGGAAACGUCUCCGCCGGCUCUGGUUGGCUCUCCUGGGCUCUCUUCAUGGCUGGGCUGAAGGUAAUGAGAGGCCCUGAGAUCCCAGAGGGACCAUAUGAGAAUUCUGGACAGUGCUGAAGACUCUUACUUCCUGCAGACACGUGAGUUUCUCUCCUUUGGUCUUAUGAUAAAGUAGGUUCAGCUAAGG